CUGACACAGGUGCUGCAUGGCUGUUGUCAGCUCGUGUCGUGAGAUGUUGGGUUAAGUCCGUAACGAGCGCAACCCUUGUCCUUAGUUACCAGCACGUUAUGGUGGGCACUCUAAGGAGACUGCCGGUGACAAACCGGAGGAAGGUGGGGAUGACGUCAAGUCAUCAUGGCCCUUACGGCCUGGGCUACACACGUGCUACAAUGGUCGGUACAAAGGGUUGCCAAGCCGCGAGGUGGAGCUAAUCCCAUAAAACCGAUCGUAGUCCGGAUCGCAGUCUGCAACUCGACUGCGUGAAGUCGGAAUCGCUAGUAAUCGUGAAUCAGAAUGUCACGGUGAAUACGUUCCCGGGCCUU
This 353-nucleotide ribosomal RNA is filed under the name uncultured Pseudomonas sp. RNAcentral's name for it is "bacterial SSU rRNA". It matches the Rfam family "Bacterial small subunit ribosomal RNA", at positions 1029 to 1382 of the family's 1533-position model. The record is from RNAcentral. Lineage: Bacteria; Pseudomonadati; Pseudomonadota; Gammaproteobacteria; Pseudomonadales; Pseudomonadaceae.